CCAGAGAUUUCCGAAUGGGGAAACCCAGCAUGAGUUAUGUCAUGUUAUCGAUAUGUGAAUACAUAGCAUAUCAGAAGGCACACCCGGAGAACUGAAACAUCUUAGUACCCGGAGGAAGAGAAAGAAAAUUCGAUUCCCUUAGUAGCGGCGAGCGAAACGGGAAGAGCCCAAACUAACAAGCUUGCUUGUUGGGGUUGUAGGACACUCUAUACGGAGUUACAAAGGACGACAUUAGACGAAUCAACUGGAAAGAUGAAUCAAAGAAGGUAAUAAUCCUGUAGUCGAAAAUGUUGUCUCUCUUGAGUGGAUCCUGAGUACGACGGAGCACGUGAAAUUCCGUCGGAAUCUGGGAGGACCAUCUCCUAAGGCUAAAUACUCUCUAGUGACCGAUAGUGAACCAGUACCGUGAGGGAAAGGUGAAAAGAACCCCGGAAGGGGAGUGAAAUAGAACCUGAAACCGUGUGCUUACAAGUAGUCAGAGCCCGUUAAUGGGUGAUGGCGUGCCUUUUGUAGAAUGAACCGGCGAGUUACGAUUUGAU
This 539-nucleotide ribosomal RNA is filed under the name Staphylococcus aureus. RNAcentral describes it as "partial 23S ribosomal RNA". It matches the Rfam family "Bacterial large subunit ribosomal RNA", at positions 104 to 639 of the family's 2925-position model. The record is from RNAcentral. Lineage: Bacteria; Bacillati; Bacillota; Bacilli; Caryophanales; Staphylococcaceae.